AGAGAUUGGUAGCAUUUAUUACUAUCCACAAAGCCUAUGAAAGCCUACUAUAGAAAAUAGAAAAAUGACAACAAAAACAACAAAAAUGAGAGAAAUUAAGAAUAGAGAUAUGAUGUGGUAGUUUUGCUUUGUUUCUCUCUCUUCCCAUUGUUCCAAAGCUUACAGAAUUCAACCCUGCUUAUGUGGCUGUAUUUCUACAUUGUUUAUAGCCAAUGGACACAGGGAUGAAAGGCAUAAGUAAAGGGAGAGGAAAGAAUUGCAUAAUUAACUUUUUAAAUUAAUUCAUGACCCAGUUAAAAGGACAAGGAGGGGGUUAUUAAUUAAUUAAGGUGGGAAACCCUGUGGGCAUGUGAGAUUUAGAGAGUUUUAACUUACCAGCCAGGUUAAAAGGCUUUCUAUGGGCACUCAGCACUCACUGAAUCUGGAAUACAGUCAAUGUAAAAAAGAAAAAAAAAAGGUGAAAAUAUAUUGUAAAAGGUUUUCAGGGAAAUAAAAAGUCUAAAAAGACUGAAAAUUAAUUAGGAGGAGUCUUGACAAAUGUUUCAUCAGAAUUUGAGGAACAGCUUAGCCUGAUUCUCAGCUUUUACAAGCUUACUUAGCCCUACUUUACACAGGCAAUGGUUUAUGACAUAAGGAUAACAUUUUGUCCUGAAAUAUAUUUUUAUAAUCUUCUUAAGUCCUAAGAAUUUUAGCAGAACUCAUGGAUUAAUAGUUACAGCAACUGUAGCAACAACUACUGAUAUUAAUUUGAGUGAACUUUUUUGACUUUCUGGAGACACUAUAGCCUCUUCUUGCAGAUGUGGCACCUCUCAAUCAGUAUACAUUUUAAAUCAGCCAUCCUGGGUUCCCUCUUUCCUCUGGUACCUGUAACUGCAAAUGCCCAUUUAAGAUGCAGUUUUCUACAUCUCCUUAAAGGCUCAUACUACCUACGCUGCUUCCAGCACACAUCCAGGUACCACAGGAUAAAACUUAGAAUCCAGGCAGGAUGUCCAGUUUUAUUCUAUCAAAUGCCACAGAAACAAAGGGAACAAUCCAUUUUUCCUGAUAGAAGCCAACAGUUCGUAAGAGGUUUGAGAUGAGUGUAAGGAUACAAUUUGCCUAGAGAGUGCCUGAGGAUCAAGACAACCUGACUUUCCACGGAAUGAGUCUGUCAGCUGGCAUCUUGCAGUAAUUGCUUCCCAUGGCAGGACCUUACCAGCCGAGGGAGGACUGCUCUCGUCAACCCAAGAAUCAAUUUCUACAGUAGCUGAAUGAUAAUUGUUUGCUAAGGCUCGGGGAACUUGUUGGCAAGCCUGAAAAAGGGGCUGAAGCUAUGAUUGGCACUCAUUAACCCGGGAUUUGGAUUUGAUCAUUUACCUUAGUAGAAGAAUGUGUGGGGGUAAAAGAAGGAGAGGACUGCAAAAUGUUCUUUUGUUUGGAAGAAACAAAUGAAAUCAAUCGCAGAAUGAGUAUCUGAAUGUCAAGCCUGAAACCAUGUCAGUCUUCACUCAAACAGACCAAAUAACGUGCACUAUCAGGUGAUUUGAAUGCUUUCCUUCAAGUAGAAACAUCUCUUUGGAAUUUUUUCCGUGAUAGAUACCAACGUUUGCGUAUUUUGUUCACUAUGUUAAGUAUAUCCUUGGUGACCAGUGUCCUGAACUUACAUUGCUGGGUUAUGCUGUAAAGAAAGGGGAAGAAAAUAUAUGAGAGGUCCGGAGGAUGAAAUUCUGAACUCUACAGUGAAAAGUGUGCUUUUGCAGAAGGUAUUCACCACUGUCUUGGAUAUGGCCCUCACGGUUUUGUUUCCUAGUGUUUGCUGAUUAUUUAUGUGACCUUUCAAAACCUACUGACAAACACAUAAACACUAUUUUUUUUCUGUAUUACAACAAAUGUAUGCAUAUCACACUGCCAGUGCUGGUUCAGGGAGAAGCACAGGGCAGUGACUAAGUCGAUACCACGGUAUUUAGAUGACUGCUUUACAGAGAUCCUGUAUGAUCUUCAGCACCUGUCCGUGUUUCUGGAAGUGGCUGACCCAGAUUUUCACCUCAGCCCUGACUUCACUCUGCAUGCAUAUGUGCAUUACUAGCAGGAAGCAGUCUCCAUUUCACAACACUAGUCUCAUCAAGGCCAUUCUCUUCAAAUCCUUUUGUGUUCUGAACUGUGGAAUGGCAGACAUAUGAGUCUGGAAGUCUGUAAGUUGUCCAAGUAUUGCUGUGUUGCCAGUGGUGGCUCUAAUGAGUUUUAGCUCAUGGGAACCUCAAAAGAGCGCCUCGUGGCAGACACUUUUGCAU
Gallus gallus (chicken) is the source of this 2270-nucleotide long non-coding RNA. The record is from Ensembl. NCBI's taxonomy places the organism in Eukaryota, Metazoa, Chordata, Aves, Galliformes, Phasianidae.